GCUGCAUGGCUGUCGUCAGCUCGUGUCGUGAGAUGUUGGGUUAAGUCCGCAACGAGCGCAACCCUUGCCAUCAGUUGCUACGAAAGGGCACUCUGAUGGGACUGCCGGUGACAAACCGGAGGAAGGUGGGGAUGACGUCAAGUCCUCAUGGCCCUUAUAGGUGGGGCUACACACGUCAUACAAUGGCCGGUACAAAGGGCAGCCAACCCGCGAGGGGGAGCCAAUCCCAUAAAGCCGGUCGUAGUCCGGAUCGCAGUCUGCAACUCGACUGCGUGAAGUCGGAAUCGCUAGUAAUCGUGGAUCAGCAUGUCACGGUGAAUACGUUCCCGGGUCUU
Molecule: ribosomal RNA, 335 nt
Filed under: uncultured Hydrogenophaga sp.
Lineage: Bacteria; Pseudomonadati; Pseudomonadota; Betaproteobacteria; Burkholderiales; Comamonadaceae
Description: bacterial SSU rRNA
Rfam family: Bacterial small subunit ribosomal RNA
Source: RNAcentral